AGUGGACGCUGGCGGCGUGCUUAACACAUGCAAGUCGAACGAGAACGGAUUAUAGCUUGCUAUAAUUGUCAGCUAAGUGGCGCACGGGUGAGUAAUGUAUAGGUAAUAUGCCUCUUACUAAGGGAUAACAAAUGGAAACGUUUGCUAAUACCUUAUACUCCUUAUUAACAGAAGUUAAUAAGGGAAAGAUUUAUUGGUAAGAGAUUAGCCUGUAUUGUAUCAGUUAGUUGGUGGGGUAAUGGCUUACCAAGACUAUGACACAUAACUGGUUCGAGAGGAUGAUCAGUCACACUGGAACUGAGACACGGUCCAGACUCCUACGGGAGGCAGCAGUGGGGAAUAUUGCACAAUGGACGAAAGUCUGAUGCAGCAACGCCGCGUGGAGGAUGACACAUUUCGGUGCGUAAACUCCUUUUAUAUGAGAAGAUAAUGACGGUAUUAUAUGAAUAAGCACCGGCUAACUCCGUGCCAGCAGCCGCAGUAA
Molecule: ribosomal RNA, 484 nt
Filed under: uncultured bacterium
Lineage: Bacteria
Description: partial 16S ribosomal RNA
Rfam family: Bacterial small subunit ribosomal RNA
Source: RNAcentral